CCAGACUCCUACGGGAGGCAGCAGUGGGGAAUAUUGCACAAUGGGGGAAACCCUGAUGCAGCGACGCCGCGUGAGUGAAGAAGUAUUUCGGUAUGUAAAGCUCUAUCAGCAGGGAAGAAAAUGACGGUACCUGAUUAAGAAGCCCCGGCUAACUACGUGCCAGCAGCCGCGGUAAUACGUAGGGGGCAAGCGUUAUCCGGAUUUACUGGGUGUAAAGGGAGCGCAGGCGGCGCGGUAAGUCUGAUGUGAAAGCCCGGGGCUCAACCCCGGGACUGCAUUGGAAACUGUCGUGCUGGAGUGUCGGAGGGGCAAGUGGAAUUCCUAGUGUAGCGGUGAAAUGCGUAGAUAUUAGGAGGAACACCAGUGGCGAAGGCGGCUUGCUGGACGACAACUGACGCUGAGGCUCGAAAGCGUGGGGAGCAAACAGGAUUAGAUACCCGCGUAAA
Molecule: ribosomal RNA, 446 nt
Filed under: uncultured bacterium
Lineage: Bacteria
Description: bacterial SSU rRNA
Rfam family: Bacterial small subunit ribosomal RNA
Source: RNAcentral